RNAcentral lists this ribosomal RNA (685 nucleotides) under uncultured Arcobacter sp. RNAcentral describes it as "bacterial SSU rRNA". It matches the Rfam family "Bacterial small subunit ribosomal RNA", at positions 97 to 802 of the family's 1533-position model. The record is from RNAcentral. Lineage: Bacteria; Pseudomonadati; Campylobacterota; Epsilonproteobacteria; Campylobacterales; Arcobacteraceae.
GGCGGACGGGUGAGUAAUAUAUAGGUAACGUGCCCUAGAGAGGGGGAUAACAGUUGGAAACGACUGCUAAUACCCCAUAUGCCUUUAAGACAUAAGUCUGCAAGGGAAAUAUUUAUAGCUCUAGGAUCGGCCUGUACGGUAUCAGCUUGUUGGUGAGGUAAUGGCUCACCAAGGCAAUGACACCUAACUGGUUUGAGAGGAUGAUCAGUCACACUGGAACUGAGACACGGUCCAGACUCCUACGGGAGGCAGCAGUGGGGAAUAUUGCACAAUGGGGGAAACCCUGAUGCAGCAACGCCGCGUGGAGGAUGACACAUUUCGGUGAGUAAACUCCUUUUAUAUAUGAAGAUAAUGACGGUACUAUAUGAAUAAGCGCCGGCUAACUCCGUGCCAGCAGCCGCGGUAAUACGGAGGGCGCAAGCGUUACUCGGAAUCACUGGGCGUAAAGAGCGUGUAGGCGGGUUAAUAAGUUUGAAGUGAAAUCCUAUGGCUCAACCAUAGAACUGCUUUGAAAACUGUUAACCUAGAAUAUGGGAGAGGUAGAUGGAAUUUCUGGUGUAGGGGUAAAAUCCGUAGAGAUCAGAAGGAAUACCGAUUGCGAAGGCGAUCUACUGGAACAUUAUUGACGCUGAGACGCGAAAGCGUGGGGAGCAAACAGGAUUAGAUACCCUGGUAGUCCACGCCC